RNAcentral lists this ribosomal RNA (826 nucleotides) under uncultured bacterium. RNAcentral describes it as "bacterial SSU rRNA". It matches the Rfam family "Bacterial small subunit ribosomal RNA", at positions 8 to 807 of the family's 1533-position model. The record is from RNAcentral.
AGAGUUUGAUCCUGGCUCAGAACGAACGCUGGCGGCGUGCCUAACACAUGCAAGUCGAGCGCGAAAGUCCCUUCGGGGGCGAGUAGAGCGGCGGACGGGUGAGUAAUACAUGGAUAAUCUCCCUUCGAGCUCGGGAUAACACUGCGAAAGCGGUGCUAAUACCGGAUAAGACCACGUCACCCAGGUGAUGCGGUAAAAGAUGGCUUUGUUUUCGGAUGAGGCUAUCACUUGAGGAUGAGUCCAUGGCCUAUCAGCUUGUUGGUGAGGUAAAGGCUCACCAAGGCGAUGACGGGUAGCUGGUCUGAGAGGACGACCAGCCACACUGGGACUGAGACACGGCCCAGACUCCUACGGGAGGCAGCAGUGGGGAAUAUUGGGCAAUGGGCGAAAGCCUGACCCAGCGACGCCGUGUGGGCGAUGAAGGCCUUCGGGUUGUAAAGCCCUGUUGGGUGGAAAGAAGGGCUCUAGGACGAAUAAUCCCUGAGUCUUGACGGUACCACCAGAGGAAGCACCGGCUAACUCCGUGCCAGCAGCCGCGGUAAUACGGAGGGUGCAAGCGUUGUUCGGAAUUACUGGGCGUAAAGGGCGCGUAGGUGGUUGUGUAAGUCAGAUGUGAAAUCCCGAGGCUCAACCUCGGAACUGCAUCUGAUACUGCAUGACUAGAGUGCAGCAGAGGGAAACGGAAUUCCCAGUGUAGAGGUGAAAUUCGUAGAUAUUGGGAGGAACACCGGUGGCGAAGGCGGUUUCCUGGGCUGACACUGACACUGAGGCGCGAAAGCGUGGGUAGCAAACAGGAUUAGAUACCCUGGUAGUCCACGCUGUAAAC